This 339-nucleotide ribosomal RNA is filed under the name bacterium enrichment culture clone ALO1_GLFRUDD03FQQ40. Its description in RNAcentral is "bacterial SSU rRNA". It matches the Rfam family "Bacterial small subunit ribosomal RNA", at positions 9 to 334 of the family's 1533-position model. The record is from RNAcentral.
GAGUUUGAUCUUGGCUCAGGAUGAACGCUGGCGGCGUGCUUAGCACAUGCAAGUCGAACGAAGCACUCAGGAGCGAUUUCGGUCAAUCCUGUUUGACUGAGUGGCGGACGGGUGAGUAACGCGUGAGUAACCUACCUCGCAGUGGGGAAUAACAGUUGGAAACGACUGCUAAUACCGCAUAAUGCAGAGAGACCGCAUGAUCUUUCUGCCAAAGAUUUAUCGCUGUGAGAUGGACUCGCGUCUGAUUAGCUAGUUGGUGAGGUAACGGCUCACCAAGGCGACGAUCAGUAGCCGGACUGAGAGGUUGACCGGCCACAUUGGGACUGAGACACGGCCCAG